RNAcentral lists this ribosomal RNA (807 nucleotides) under Triticum aestivum (bread wheat). RNAcentral's name for it is "partial small subunit ribosomal RNA". Lineage: Eukaryota; Viridiplantae; Streptophyta; Magnoliopsida; Poales; Poaceae. The record is from RNAcentral.
AUGUUCACUUUGCAUGUUAUGCUUGCUUCUAUGCCUUUGCCAUGCAAUUGUGACCCUUGCUUGCAUCUACCCAUGAUUCACCAUUUUACUACUGAUAUGUGUAUUUGCAUGCUUGGCGGAGAUCCUUGUUGCUAUUGCCAUGUUUAUCAUGUGCCUCAUGCUAUUGUUGAUUCUUGUGUUGGGAGAGUCAUGAUGUUCCAUUACUAUUUACCUAGGACUUCUUGCCAAUACAAUGAUGAUACUUUCCUUAUAUCUUGCUUUCAUGCUUGUGCUAUGUCAUGUGAAUUAUUCAUGCACACUAUUUGCACACAUGACAUGAUUAGCUCUAGUAUGUUGCAUCUUCACACUACUAGCUCACACCACUUGAUCGCUAUGAUUGCUUGCUUUGUCGCAUCACCCAUGUUCCAUUUUUACUCGCUUUCUUGGGCUGAUGACAUAUAUGUUCAUGCCUCUCACUUGAUUUGUCUUGAUAAUUGUCUCUUGUCUCCAUUAGUUGCAUCUCUCAUAUCACCUUGUAUUGAGUGCCAACUUGCUAUGCAUAUUGAACAUGGAGACUUGGACAUAUUACUUGUGAAGCAUGCUUGUUUAUUUGAGCCUAUUGUAUUUGGUUGUUAUCGCAUCAUAUGCCUCCAUACUAUGAAAUGCUCCCUUGUCCUUUCUUAUGAUGAGCAUGAUGCAUACACUUGUUGGGUAUCUUACCAUACGAAUGAUAGGUUUUGCACCUCCGCUAACCUCAUUUGUUUUUCCGAGUGUUUGUCAUGUUCUUUCAUUUCGGAGGAUUCUCAAGGCAUUUCCAUCACGAAAUAA